Molecule: RNase P RNA, 339 nt
Filed under: Fidelibacterota bacterium
Lineage: Bacteria; Pseudomonadati; Fidelibacterota
Description: RNase P RNA component class A
Rfam family: Bacterial RNase P class A
About the family: Ribonuclease P (RNase P) is a ubiquitous endoribonuclease, found in archaea, bacteria and eukarya as well as chloroplasts and mitochondria. Its best characterised activity is the generation of mature 5'-ends of tRNAs by cleaving the 5'-leader elements of precursor-tRNAs.
Source: RNAcentral
UGGGUUGGUCGGUUGAUUGCUUUUUAUUAAAAGAGGAAAGUCCGAACUCCGCAGAAUAAAGUGCCUCAUAAUAAGAGGAUCUCGAUUAGAGAAUGGAAAGUGCCACAGAAAAUAUACCGCCAUUUAUGGUAAGGGUGAAAAAGUAGUGUAAGAGACUACUAUCUGCUUUUGAAAAAAAGUAUAUUGGUAAACCCCACUUGGAGCAAGAUCAAGUAGUCCUGUGUUAUUCGCACAUUAAGGACGGGUAGAUCGCAUUAGUAUAUUAGUGAUAAUAUACAUAGAUGAAUAAUCAACGCUAUUUUUAUAGUACAGAAUUCGGCUUAUAGGCCAACCCAUUUU